Molecule: long non-coding RNA, 247 nt
Filed under: Brassica napus (rape)
Lineage: Eukaryota; Viridiplantae; Streptophyta; Magnoliopsida; Brassicales; Brassicaceae
Description: long non-coding RNA (BNAP_LNC010617)
Source: RNAcentral
AAUACAUAUUAUAAAUGAAAAUAAAAUAUUAACCAGCUGUUACAAAUUAGUUCUUUUGUAAAAUUUAUAUAUAUGCAUGAGGCUUCAGAUUAUUAUUGUUAUAUUAAUUUAUGUAAUUUGGAAUCAGACACUUUAGUUUAUUUUUUAUUUCAUUCAAAACACAACAUAUCUUAAGUUAUACAUAAUCUCCAUAAACUAUAUUUACGUAUCUAAGACAACAACCACCUAAAUGUAGAUAAAAAAUUAA